UAGUUACAGUUUGUUCGCACUGAUUAAUGGCCGGACAGUAUAAAACCACCCAGGUACGAAGAAGCGUUGUAAGCUCUGCCUGUUUAACCCCCUAGCGUGUUGGAUUCAGUCAUCAGCUUCGCGGUCACCGGCUAGUCUUCUCCUGCUGCCCGUGUUUUAGACACCAUCCCUUAUUCAUUCUACAGCUGAACGUGGAUGUGGGGCCCUCUUUGAGGGAGGCUAGUCACCUGGUGGUGGGACCCUGUAGCUGCACGUUUGUGGUGUCAUUGUUGCUUGCGGUGGGCUGCUGUGUCACUGGUAAGUCACUUUCUUGCAGUGUGUAUGCAUGUGUGAUGGCUGGAACUUAGAACACACCUCCAGUUAGUCUGUCUCCCUCAGGUAAGCCCCCAUCUGCUGUAUCUUUUUAGCUCCAGUGGAGCCUUGGCCCCACUUUAGAAAUCACCUGUUCAUAUUGUAUUAUAAUAAAAGAUAACAAUAAUAAAUAUUUUUGUACUUUCAUAACCUCUGACUCGUUUCAGGUAUUAUUGCAGGACGCUCCUCCCUUCCCCCCUUUGGUAAUUUAAUAAACUUUUAUGAUUUGACUGGAA
Molecule: long non-coding RNA, 587 nt
Organism: Alosa sapidissima (American shad)
Lineage: Eukaryota; Metazoa; Chordata; Actinopteri; Clupeiformes; Clupeidae
Exons: 2
Source: RefSeq, a predicted model, not a curated record